CAGUGUAGAAAUAAACGAUGGUAAUAAU
RNAcentral lists this small RNA (28 nucleotides) under Bombyx mori (domestic silkworm). RNAcentral describes it as "ovarian small RNA-13362". The record is from RNAcentral. Lineage: Eukaryota; Metazoa; Arthropoda; Insecta; Lepidoptera; Bombycidae.